RNAcentral lists this small RNA (30 nucleotides) under Bombyx mori (domestic silkworm). RNAcentral describes it as "ovarian small RNA-36168". Lineage: Eukaryota; Metazoa; Arthropoda; Insecta; Lepidoptera; Bombycidae. The record is from RNAcentral.
UGUUGGCCUGAAGGGCCUGAGAUACGCGAU